UCUCCGUUGGUGAACCAGCGGAGGGAUCAUUACCGAGUUUACAACUCCCAAACCCCUGUGAACAUACCAUUUGUUGCCUCGGCGGUGCCUGCUUCGGCAGCCCGCCAGAGGACCCAAACCCUUGAUUUUAUACAGUAUCUUCUGAGUAAAUGAUUAAAUAAAUCAAAACUUUCAACAACGGAUCUCUUGGUUCUA
Molecule: unclassified non-coding RNA, 195 nt
Filed under: plant metagenome
Description: partial contains small subunit ribosomal RNA, internal transcribed spacer 1, and 5.8S ribosomal RNA
Source: RNAcentral